UGUGGCUUAGCUGGUAGAGUACUUGCCUGGUGAGCAUAAGGCCCUGGGUUCAAUCCCUAGCA
RNAcentral lists this transfer RNA (62 nucleotides) under Cricetulus griseus (Chinese hamster). It matches the Rfam family "tRNA", at positions 6 to 65 of the family's 71-position model. From Rfam's summary of the family: Transfer RNA (tRNA) molecules are approximately 80 nucleotides in length. The record is from Rfam by way of RNAcentral. Lineage: Eukaryota; Metazoa; Chordata; Mammalia; Rodentia; Cricetidae.